UCAUCUCUUUUUAUCCACAUUCGUUUCAUCCUCAUUUGGUCUGUCCUCUAGCUUCUCUAUCACCGAUAAGAGGAGGGCCUCAGACAUCUUUCUGCUUCGACCAAACUGUCCUAAUAGCCAAUUUAAUAGAUAAAUUAUUAGUGUAGAAGAAAAAUGAUUUUUGGAUUGAAUAGAAUUCACUCAACCGCAAGAUUUCAAAAAUGAUUUUGGAUUGAAUAUUUUCGGAUCAAAUCCAACCGAUUUGAAAAUUCGAAUUUUGAAGAAAACGAAAUCGGAUAUGGACCAUAUUAUUCGAAAAUCCAAAUCCAAAAAUUUGAAUAUUUUCGGUGUAAAUCCAAUCCGAACCGAAAAAUUCGAAAUUUGAAAAAAAAAUAAUUAAAUAUUUGUAAAAAAAAUCCAAACUUAUAUACUCCAUCAAACUAACCAAUUAGACAAUUAUGACCUGAUUAAAAUCCUAAGUGAUGAGGACAAAAAUAUGCAUUCCUUGAAAACCGGAGAGUUAAAACAAAACCAACCCAAUUCGCCGAUAAACAGCGUUGUUCACAACUUUAUGGCUCUGCAGCCCUGAUUUCUCGGGAUUCAGCCUUAUCUCGAUAGGUCAUCACAUAUCGAUAAAGAAGGAGAUUAUCACAAAUAUUUAGAUAAACAUGAAUAAUUAUAGCUAUAUUAUAACUACAAAACGAGUCGUAUUCCUAGAAUUGUUAGUAUUUUGCCUAUAGAUAUGGGCAUAUGAUUCACAACACACAACUCUAUAAUUGUAAACUCCGACACAAAUAGUGAAUAUUUUCGGUAACCCUCUGUGGAUGUAGAUCUUUACGAUCGAACCACGAAAAUUCUUGAGUUCUUUUAGCUUUUUGUUAUAGCUAUUAUUUUUUGGCACAACACUAAGUAACAAAUUAUUAUUACAAUCAAACAUGAAAAUAGUAAUUAUAUAUAUGGAGGAGCGUUCCAAUGAGAUCCCUCAUAUAUGGUGAGAUCUUAGAUUGAUUUAUAGACGUUGAUUUAAUGUACUCUAUGACUGAUAUUUACUUGGAGGGGAAUUUUUUUACCGAAUUCGAAUCCUAGAGGGAGCGAAAAUCUUACUAAUUUUUCGAAUAUCGUUAUCACUAGGGCUGGAAAUUUUCGACACGACACGAAAACACGACACGAAACCGUACGAAAUUAAUGGGUUAGUAACACGCACGAUAAGGUUCGGGUCUUUAUCGGGUCGACCUGAUAAGGACCUGAUAAUUUCGGGUCGGGUUGGGUUGGGUUCGGGUCGGAUUCAGGUAACCCGAUAGUGAUAUUAUUAUUUUUAUUAAAUAUUUAUUUUAAUUUUUAAAUUUUCGAUUUCUUAGUUUAGGCCUUAGGGUUUCAUUCAUUUCAAAUUUCAAUCAAUUAUUUGCACUAGAGAUGGGUUGUUUGGAGAAAAAGGUAUGAGUUUUUUGUGUUAUUAAUGUUUAACAUUUUAUAUUACUUGUAUAUAUAUUUAAUAUUAAUUCUAUAUUUUUUUACGUUCUAAAGUCCUUCUAAAGCGAGUACCAGCAUCUAAGUUAGCCGAAGACUUUCUACAUGGCGAUGAUGAACCUCAAACCGAAUCUUCUUCGGUCUCCACUAUUGCUGUUGCAUGAAGGCUGUCACUUAGUCUAGUUAUGUUUUGAUUUGUUAAGCUCACUUGGAUUAUGUUGUAGUUAUGUUAGGGAUUGACGACUCUUGGUUGAUGCAUUGUUAUUUUCAUUUGAGCUUAUUAUAUUUUGUUAAGCUUAUUGGUUUAAUGCUUUAUAUUGAUUGGAUUUUUAGUUUGGCAUAUGUUGAAUUGUUGAUUUAUUGGAUAUGUUGAUUGUUGAGCAUAUGUGAUGAAUUUUGUAAUUUUUUUUAUAUUAUUAUUCAUGUGAAUGAAUUAAAUCAAAUUUGUGUUGUUAUCAGGUCGUAAUCAGAUCGUGUCGCUAUCGUGUUGUGUCAACCCGAUUCAAAUCGGGUUGUUAUCAGGUCGAAAUCAGAUCGUGUCGCUAUCGGGUCGUGUCAACCCGAUUCAAAUUGGGUUGUUAUCGGGUUCAGGUUGGGUUCGGGUUUAGGUGUAUCAGGUUGGGUUCGGGUUGGGUUCUAGCAUUCCCUUAUCAGGUCGGGUUCGGGUUUGGCCUUAUCAGGUCGGGUUGAUAUCAGGUUGACCCGAUAGCGAUCCGACCCGCACGAUUUGCCAGCCCUAGUUAUCACUAUAUACUGCAUUAUUCAACACUAUAUAGUGUCUUAUUCAUUAUAUUCAGGGUCUCACGAAAAAUAACAAUCUCACUAGAGCGUGUAUAUAUAUAUAGAGAGAGAGAGUGGAUCCAUGAAGAAUGGUAAGUAUUUUGAGAAUGGAGAAUGAAUAUAAUCGCUUAGAUUUAGUUAAUCAUACUGUCCAUAUUAAUUCUUUUAGGAUUGACCGAUUUUAUCCAUUAAGGUUAAUUAAGUAAUUUUUAUUUUUAUAAUGUAACCGUCCAUGAUUAAUUAAAGAUUGACCGUAUCUCUCUUUUAUUUUCUUAUAGUUUUGAAGAUAUCAAUCAUUAAUUUUUAUUCGGUUAUUUAUUAAUUUCGCCAAUUCUUGGGUGCGACCGUCGCACAAGUGUGCGACGGGUCGACCCGGCUCCCAACCCGCCCUCCUGACCCGGAACCCUGACCCGCGUGGGUUUGACCCAUAUUCCUAAUUAUUACAUCUAUUUAUAAUAAUUGUUCCUUUUAAUAAACAUAAUAUAUACAUUUGUUCAUAUAAAUGUAUAUUGAUAUGUAUAAUGUUUUAUAUUGAAUGAAGGUAAAUAUUUAUAUUAAUAUAAGUAUAUAUUUAUGCGACCAAAUGUAUAUCUUAUGCUUAUUAAAAGUAAAUACUCCUAUUAGGGUUUAGUGUUCAGGCUUAGGGUUUAGUUUACAGGGUUUAGGGUUUAAUGUUCAGGCUUAGGGUUUAGUUUACAUGGUUUAGGGUUUAGUUUAUAGAAUUUAAGGUUUAGAAAAUAUAAUACUUCAUAUUAAAUGAAGGUAAAUACCUAUAUUUAUAUAAGUAUACAUUUGUUCGCGUAUAUUUCAUGCUUAUUAAAAGUAAUAAUUAUUAUAAACAAAUGUAAUAAUUUAGGAUUCAGGAUUUCGGAUCUGGGCACGGGUCGGGUCGGGCGCGGGUCGGGGCGGACCCGUCGCACUGGAGUGCACCGCCGCAUGCAAGACCGGCCCUAUUAAUUUUUAUUUGUGUAUACUAGUUGACCAAAUCUUUUUCAUUUUCGGUAGAAAUUAGGCAUAUCUUUAUUUUAUGUGAAUUAAAAUUGUUGUUACCUUUUCAUGCAAUAUAUUGUUUCACAUAACGAUUUCAUUAUCAAGAUCGUAUAAUUAAUAAUAAAAAAAACUAUACAGCAAUUUAAGAAAUUAAAAGAACUAUUCCCAAAACCCUACCAAACCGUUUUGAUGCUGUUCUACAUCGACGAUUUUUUUUUUUUUAAUGAAUUUUGGUGUUUUCUUUUCUAUUCAAAUUUGAUGUUUUCUUUUAUAUUCAAAGCUUAAUUAUUCAUUUAGAAAAAUUAAAAGAAAAAUAUAUAUAUAAGGAAUUUCAACAAGAAAUAUUCAAAUUUUUUAUUUAGUUGUUCAUUUAUUAAGCUUGUUCUAGAAAUUUUGUGUUAAAUAUAUUAUGGCAGCAAGAAAAAUUCGAAUAUUUUAUUUAAAUAUUCGUAAUUUUGUUAUGCUUAUUCGAAAAAUUUUAUAUUAAAUAUUUGGGUUAAUUGUUGCUAAAUUCAAAAGCUUUUUGAGAAUUCGCGAUAUUCUCACCAACUUCAAAAUCGGUGUAUGAAUACAUGAAUUGAGAAUCCGAUCUUAAUGUUCCCAAAAGAAAAAAGAAAAAAACCCAAAUUGAAGGUGACGUGGACUACCGUAAAUACAGCAUGGCAUAAUCGGCGAUGCAAGAAAACAACGUGGUUUCUUUUAAAACAAUAUGACAUCAUUUUGAUUUCCAACAACAAUUGAAAAAAAGAAAAAAAAAUUGCAGAAAUCUCUCUCUCCUCGCCGAAAAAUUUGCAAAAAUCUCUCGCACACCAACAAUCGUAGGUCAUCACUCUCUCGCCUUUCUUACCUGAUUCUUGGUCCUAGGGUUUCGAUUUGGGGAUGGAGAAAGCCGCGGCAGCAGAAAGCCACCCACCGCCACUUUGCAACGCGGCCUCCUUUCCUUCAACUCGCCACCCCAAAUCGCGGCCCCCCUCUUCAAAUCGCGGCCUCCCUCUUCAAAUCGCCACCUUCAAAUCGCGGCCUCCCUCUGCAAAUGACGGCCUCCCUUCCUUCAAAUCUCUCUCUCUCUCUCUCAAAGAGAACUUUUUUCGAUUUUGGGCGACGGCAAUUGUGUUUGGGGAUGGGGGUAGAUGGAGAAGGCGAAGAGGGUUUGGGAAAGGAGGGUAGGCUUGGGGGGUGUUUGCAGGCCGGGAGCUUGGGGAGGUGGUGGUCAGGGUGACGCCGGGGGUUUGGGGAGGUGGUGGUUGGGGGGUUGGGGAAGGGGUUAGGAUUGGGGGGUGUUUGGGGAUGGGGUAGGGUAGGUGAUUUUUUUUAUUUUAAAUUAAUUAUAAAUAAAUAAAAUUAUUAAAAAAUUAACCAAUGACAUGUCAUGACUGAUUUGGCAUGAAACUGACAUGUCAUAGGUAUUUGCCAUGUCAUCUUGAUGGAUUUUUUAAUUUUGGGAACAUUAAGAACAAAUUAUUGAUUCAUGUAUUCAUACGCCGAUUUUAAAGUUGGUGAGAGUAUCGCGAAAUUACAAAAAGCUUUUGAAUUUUAUGGUAAUUAACUCAAAAUAUUUUUACAAUUCUCAAUCAGAUAUCAAUAUUCAGACUUCUUUACUAAAAUAUUCGUAAUUUUAUGAAUGAACAUAAAUCGAAUAACUAUUAUUUAAUUAUGAAUUAACACUCUAAAUUGUUGAAAACACGGAUUACUACUUUAAUAACUUGUAAUCUUAAUAAUUUAGAAAAAUACAAUAACAUUAUACUCCCUCCGUCCCUGAAAUGGCUUCCUCUUUGGGGACGGCACGGGUUUUAAUAAAAAGUUGUAAAGUGUAUUGAUAGUGGAGAAAAAGUGAUAUAAUUAUUAUUGGAAGUUGUGAAAAGUGUUAUAAUUAGCAUUGGGAGUGGUGAAAAGUGAAAAGUAAGAAUAAAUAAAGUAUUAUUAGUGGUGGGGUAGGUUUCCAAAAAUGGAAAGAAAGAAAGAGGAAGUUAUUUGGGGGGACGUCCCAAAAUGGAAAAAGAGGAAGUUAUUUUAGGGACGGAUGGAGUAUUAUUGUUCCAUCGUAAUAUAUCACACAAAACCACAUUGCAUACAUAUAUUAAUUAGUAUAGAUGUGAUCACCUACCCACCGUGGGCACGGAUAACGUGUGACAAAUUAAAUUAGAAAAGAGAAUUAACAAAUCUUCCUCUAAUUAAAAUUAUCUUAUUUUAAUUAUAAUUGCCACAUCAAUGGUGGUCACGUUACGUGCCCACGAUGGGUAGGUGAUCGCUUCUAUAAAUUAGUAUACCAAACAUGUAUUGUUGUCAUAUAUGCUUAUUAUUAUUUUGAAUAAGUCAUGAAACUUUAUGAAUAUACUUUAAGUUUAAUUGAAUAUUACAACUCGAGAACAAGUCAAUAACAAUACUUGAACUGAAUUUACUCAAGCCAAAAGAUUUCAAAAAUUUCACUCUAUAUAAGAACAUCAUAAUAAUGUGAACUUAAUUACGAUAUAAUUGAAAACAUCAUUAACACGUGAAUUUUUAAAUUUAUCUAAUCUACAGAGAACAAAAUAGUUACCCUUUUGUAAUUUCUCUUCUUAUUUCCGAUCAAAAAAAAAAAAUUCUCUUCUUAUUUUUGCUCAGUUUGAUCGAUUCAGUCCUCCCUUCUCAUGUAAUUAGCUCGUCUUGAUAUUCCAUUAAAUCCUUUGAUUUGAAGGGCUGAAUAUGAUAUCUUUCAGGUCAAAACAAGCUGGAAAAGAAUUUAACACUAGACUAAAACUUAACAAGGAAGAGACCAAAAACUUGAUGAAAUUAAUUUCAUCAUUACAUAGUGGUGAGAGUACUCAACUUAUAACUAACAUUAUUUGAUCUACAACUGUGUUUAAUAUGGUUAGUAAAUUACUAGGGCUCUCUUGAAAUGAUGAUUUUGGGUUUGAAUAAAAUUUGGCGAAGCAGAAGAUUUCCAAAAACCUAAUAAAUCCUUGAUAUAAAACCAUCAUAACCACACGUGAAUUUGAACAUUAUUCUAAUCUACGGAGAAGGAAAAAAGUUACCUUUUGUGCUUUUUCUUCUCGUCUUUGCUCGUCUAGAUCGACUUUCUGAUUCAAUCCUGUCUUCUUCCCAUAAAACCUUUGAUUUGAAUGGUAGAAUAUGAUACUAUGUUUCAUGCCAAAACAAAACCAUGAAAUGAAUAUUUUAAGCUAGACUUUAAACUAAACAAGGAAGAGAUCCUUCCG
RNAcentral lists this long non-coding RNA (6410 nucleotides) under Salvia miltiorrhiza (redroot sage). RNAcentral's name for it is "long non-coding RNA (SMIL_LNC005945)". Lineage: Eukaryota; Viridiplantae; Streptophyta; Magnoliopsida; Lamiales; Lamiaceae. The record is from RNAcentral.